RNAcentral lists this ribosomal RNA (253 nucleotides) under uncultured bacterium. RNAcentral describes it as "partial 16S ribosomal RNA". It matches the Rfam family "Bacterial small subunit ribosomal RNA", at positions 524 to 776 of the family's 1533-position model. The record is from RNAcentral.
UACGCAGGCAGCGAGCGUUGUUCGGAGUUACUGGGCGUAAAGGGUGCGUAGGCGGUUGUUUAAGUUUGGUGUGAAAUCUCCCGGCUCAACCGGGAGGGUGCGCCGAAUACUGAAUGACUAGAGUGCGGGAGAGGAAAGUGGAAUUCCUGGUGUAGCGGUGAAAUGCGUAGAUAUCAGGAGGAACACCGGUGGUGUAGACGGCUUUCUGGACCGUAACUGACGCUGAGGCACGAAGGCCAGGGGAGCAAACGGG